UAUAUUAAAUGGUUUGUUAUUGAAUGUUAUAAUUUAUUUUAUAUUUAUGUUUUUGUUUAAUGAUAAAUGUCCUUAUUUGGACAGUAACGCACUGUAACUCCAAUCCGGCAACAAAGAUAGGUUAAGGGUAUUACAUUAUCAUAGAUUUCAACCUCAAUCCACCAACCUUUAUUGGGGCAAAAAGCACAUCCCACCUCACCAAUGAACUCUUCUAACUUCCUCCAUAAAUCCUUAAACAAACCCCUAAUUGCGCUUGUCUAACUGAUCACAAACACCUAUCAGAAGACAAAAAUACACAUAAUAUAUACAAUAUAUAUUAUUAUUGGCUACUAAGAAUAUUUACAAGAACACAACAAAAAAUAAGUAACUUACUUGCAUAUGAAAAUUAGGUCAGAAUUAACCCAUUAUUCAGCAAAUCAAAACUUUAUUAUAGAAAAUAUUUUCUCAGAAAAUUAAAUAAAAAGCAAUUCCCAAGAAAGAUUGGAAGGGCCACAUGUCCCCACUUAAAAUCUAACCUCCUAGAAAAAAUAUUGUCAAUGUCGGUUAUUCUAAAUCAAAGUGAAAAUUAGGGAUCUAAUAAAGUGAGUGAGGUUUUAUUCCGCUUAACUUUAUCACCCUAGUAAUGUUUAAGACAUUGACCAUUGACUUUGAACUUACCUCCCUUACCAUCAUGUAGUUAAUGACCCCGUAUGGAAAGACUUGGCAAAUGGUGAAUGGACCAGGUCAAUGAGAUUUUAACUUACCAGAAAAGAACUUUAAUAUGGAAUUGAACAACAAGACUUGUUAACCUGCUUCAAACUCACAGAUUCGAAUGUGUUUGUCAUGUCAUAUUUUUAAUUUCUCUUUACACAACUUGGCAUUUUCAUACGAAAACAUUUGAAAAUUUUCUAAUUCAUUGAGUUGAAGCAUUCAUUUCUCUCCAACAAGCUUGAGAUCCAAAUUAAGUUGCUUGAGAGCCUAGUAAACUCUAUGUUCUAACUCCAAAGGCAAAUAACAGACUUUCCCAAAAACUAACCGAUAGGGAGACAUUCCUAAAAGUGUUUUGAAUGUUGUCCGAUAGGCGCACAAAGCAUUAUCCAAUCUUUCGGAUUAAUCUCACCGGUUUGGAUGGAUUACCUUCUUGAGUAUACCUUUUAUCUCCUUAUUUGCCAAUUCAACUUGCCUAUUUGUCUGUGUAUGGUAAGUUGUGACAAUCUUAUGCUUCACUUCAUGUUUGUUGAGCAACCAUUUCAACCCAAAAGAAACUCUACUUACUUGUGAAUUACGGAUUAAACCAUGAAGAUAUACAUAUGAAAAUGAAACAAUUGCUCUAAAUUCGAUUCUCAUCAUGACCAUUACGUUGUGACAAUCUUAUGCUUCACUUCAUGUUUGUUGAGCAACCAUUUCAACCCAAAAGAAACUCUACUUACUUGUGAAUUACGGAUUAAACCAUGAAGAUAUACAUAAGAAAAUGAAACAAUUGCUAUGAAUUCGAUUCUCAUCAUGACCAUUAGGUUGUGACAAUCUUAUGCUUCACUUCAUGUUUGUUGAGCAACCAUUUCAACCCAAAAGAAACUCUACUUACUUGUGAAUUACGGAUUAAACCAUGAAGAUAUACAUAUGAAAAUGAAACAAUUGCUAUGAAUUCGAUCCUCAUCAUGACCAUUACGUUCUGACAAUCUUAUGCUUCACUUCAUGUUUGUUGAGCAACCAUUUCAACCCAAAAGAAACUCUACUUACUUGUGAAUUACGGAUUAAACCAUUAAGAUAUACAUAUGAAAAUGAAACAAUUGCUAUGAAUUCGAUUCUCAUCAUGACCAUUCUUGCAACCCUAAAGAACAACAUAUCCUGGCUGUCCAAAGUGAAAAACUGUUAAAGGCCAACAGUUAAAACAUAGAAAAGUAGAUCAAAUGGAAUUUCUUGAGACCAAGCAUGUUAUAAUGCCCUCUAAUUUGUUAUUGAAUAAUUAUUAGAAGCACUCUCUUACGGAAAAGAAUAGGUAACAUCAUUUCAGCGAUAGGAACACAAAUCCGAACCGAUAACCCCUGAACCCAUCAAGCUAAGCACUCACACCGCAUAACAUAGAUGAAAAAGCAAAAAGAUAAAUGGUAAGUAAAGAUACAUAUCUAAAAUCAAAUGUUAAAAAUAGAGGGAAACAAAAAACAGAAAAAAUAGAACACAGUAGACUAAAAAAUUAUAGAUUCCGCCCUCAUCCGAAUCCAAGUAUCAUAUUUCUAUGUGCUUUUACUCGAAAAAUAAUAGGGAAAACAAUAAUGGUAUCACCAAAAAACUCAGUAGUUUCAAUUGUUAAAAACAAGUCACAGAUUUCAAAUUCCCAAUGGCAGACUCUAAAUCAUUGCAACAAAUGAGUUUAACAGCUUGAUAAAAAAAUUCUAUAGAUCGAAAUACCUGAAAAUUAUCGCUAAUGGAAGGCAACGGGGAGGUUUGCGGGUUGGGAAGGAGAACCGCCAGGAGAACUGCUCCAAAAAUCUCCACGUCGUACGUCCUGAACUUGAGCAGCAAAUUGCAAGCUCCACAUCACUUGCUCAACAGAAAGGUCUCAAGGGUUUCUCCCUCUCAUAAAAACCCUAUUCCUGCUGUAAAGUGAGGAUGUGUGUGUGUUUGGCUUUUUCUGACCUAAAACUAAAAAAUAUUGAGGAAGAAAUUGAGAAGAGACAGAGAGAGAAGGAGUUGGCGAAUAAAUAGAGUGCUAUGGAUUGAAGACAGAGGAAUGUGUAGAUGCGGAGGAAGUGGCUAAGGUUUGUUUUGAAAGGAAAAGAAGGGAAGGAAGACAGAAGAAAGAAAGCAAAAGAGAUUGGAUUAACAAAGAAGGAAGAAGGGAAAACCAGCAAAAAAUAAACGAGUAAAAAAAACCUGAGAGUUUUUUAUAUUAUUUUAUUUUGAAAAUAGUUUAAGAAUAUUAAUGGUUUCAUUUAUUACUUCUUCAACUUGAUCAUGAAGUUGUGCUGGUCUUUCAAUUGGUUACAUCAUCAACUGGGUCGGGAAAAUACUAGGAUUCUUUAGUCUGUAUAGAGUUUUUAUAUUUUGAAAACAGUUUUAAGAAUUUUAAUGGUUUCAUUUAUUGCUUCUUCUCUUGCCGGUUACUAUACAGAAAGAGAAGGGGGAAAGAAACCUAAGAGAUAUUUUUGUAUUAUUU
Molecule: long non-coding RNA, 3136 nt
Filed under: Gossypium barbadense (sea-island cotton)
Lineage: Eukaryota; Viridiplantae; Streptophyta; Magnoliopsida; Malvales; Malvaceae
Description: long non-coding RNA (GBAR_LNC002547)
Source: RNAcentral